AAGGAAUUAGUUAUAUGAUUUAAUAGUUUAGGCUUUGAUAGCCUGCUGUGUCCAUCUUCACAACGAAGACCUACCUGCCAGGCAGACAGAUACAUCAACCAGACAGGAUACCUUUUAUUCUUGCUGGUGCUAGGAUGGGGCUGCCAAUUUAUAACUUUCAAAAUUUUCCUUUCCUAGGCCUGACUACCUUCCUUUUGUUCCGAACAUUUUUCUUCAAAUAGCGUUGUGCCAGAACCUUGUCAUUGUCCCCUAAUAUCCAUUCUCCACUUCUUUUGGCUAUAGAAUCCCUGAAUUUUAAUUAGACAGAAGCCCCCUCCCCAUUUUCUAAAGACAAUUUCCAGCCUCCCUUGCAGCCUGAUGUGUCCUUGUGAUUACGCUCUGACCAGUGGGCCACCCAGUCUUCUGUUGGCACAGUGGAUGGGGGCUGUGUCUUAUGAAAGCUAUGUCCAAGAGUUCCAAGUGGAGGCCAGUAGUGAUGGAAAUGGUGGUCCUAAAUAGAGCUGCAACCUCUGGGUAACCCUCUUACCCUAAAUACAUGUUGCUUACCCAAGAGUCAGACUCCUGAGAUUUCAUCAUUGGUAACUGAUUUCCUUGGAUUACCCAUUGUUCCCUUUAUUCAGCCUUCUUUUAAAAUGCAAAUAUUCCUGGGUGGAUAAUAAACAUAUUGCUACUAAAGCUUUACUAUAAACACACUUUCCAGUUCUUUCUUUCUGACAGAAGGGGGCCUGGAUUAUGCUAAGAUCUCUCGAAGGAGGGAUGGGGAAGAGCAUCUAACCCUGAGUAGGACUGCCAUUUGGACAGCGCAGAAGGGACAAAUCCUUAAUCUUUUCUUUUCCAUUACAUAGCAAAGGGAAUGAAAGUGAGGGGGGUUGGCACUGGGUUUAUGUAUGUGUGUAAAACAUAGGCACGUGGAGCCAGUUAUUCACAGAGGUAGAAGCAACUCACUUCUGACUUCAGACAUGUUUCAGAAAUGGAACAAACCAAAUUUUGCUAAGUGGUUUUCUUAUUAAAGCAA
This 1015-nucleotide long non-coding RNA is filed under the name Homo sapiens (human). RNAcentral's name for it is "HSALNT0181059". The record is from RNAcentral. Lineage: Eukaryota; Metazoa; Chordata; Mammalia; Primates; Hominidae.